AUUUCUUAUUCAAAAUGAUUUUAAAUUGCAAAUUUGAAGGUAACUAUCUAAGUUAGAAAUUUC
Molecule: transfer RNA, 63 nt
Filed under: Freysuila caesalpiniae
Lineage: Eukaryota; Metazoa; Arthropoda; Insecta; Hemiptera; Psyllidae
Description: tRNA-Cys
Source: RNAcentral